RNAcentral lists this ribosomal RNA (484 nucleotides) under uncultured bacterium. RNAcentral's name for it is "partial 16S ribosomal RNA". It matches the Rfam family "Bacterial small subunit ribosomal RNA", at positions 29 to 507 of the family's 1533-position model. The record is from RNAcentral.
AUUGAACGCUGGCGGCAUGCUUUACACAUGCAAGUCGAACGGCAGCGCGGGCUUCGGCCUGGCGGCGAGUGGCGAACGGGUGAGUAAUGCAUCGGAACGUGCCCAGUAGUGGGGGAUAGCCCGGCGAAAGCCGGAUUAAUACCGCAUACGACCUGAGGGUGAAAGCGGGGGACCGAAAGGCCUCGCGCUAUUGGAGCGGCCGAUGUCGGAUUAGCUAGUUGGUGGGGUAAAGGCUUACCAAGGCGACGAUCCGUAGCUGGUCUGAGAGGACGACCAGCCACACUGGGACUGAGACACGGCCCAGACUCCUACGGGAGGCAGCAGUGGGGAAUUUUGGACAAUGGGGGCAACCCUGAUCCAGCCAUGCCGCGUGCGGGAAGAAGGCCUUCGGGUUGUAAACCGCUUUUGUUCGGGAAGAAAUCCUCUGGGCUAAUACCCCGGGGGGAUGAAGGUACCGGAAGAAUAAGCACCGGCUAACUACGUG